This 253-nucleotide ribosomal RNA is filed under the name uncultured bacterium. RNAcentral describes it as "partial 16S ribosomal RNA". It matches the Rfam family "Bacterial small subunit ribosomal RNA", at positions 524 to 776 of the family's 1533-position model. The record is from RNAcentral.
UACGUAGGCAGCGAGCGUUGUUCGGAUUUACUGGGCGUAAAGGGUGUGUAGGCGGCCUUCUAAGUUUGGUGUGAAAUCUCCCGGCUCAACUGGGAGGGUGCGCCGAAUACUGAAGGGCUAGAGUGCGGGAGAGGAGAGUGGAAUUCCUGGUGUAGCGGUGAAAUGCGUAGAUAUCAGGAGGAACACCGGUGGUGUAGACGGCUCUCUGGACCGUAACUGACGCUGAGACACGAAAGCGUGGGUAGCAAACAGG